Molecule: long non-coding RNA, 358 nt
Organism: Spinacia oleracea (spinach)
Lineage: Eukaryota; Viridiplantae; Streptophyta; Magnoliopsida; Caryophyllales; Amaranthaceae
Exons: 2
Source: RefSeq, a predicted model, not a curated record
GGUUUUCGAAGUCAUUAAAGGUUCUAAGGAGUUCAUAAAGUUCUAGUUGAUUUGAGUAAGUAGUUUAUUGAUUCAUAUCUUUCAUUGCUGAGGUAAUUUGAUGGAGAAUAGUUAAGGAGAUUUUAACUAUGAAGCUAAGCGGAGAAUGGUGAUCGUAUGCGCGGCUUGGGAUUAUGUGAGGUGACUAUAGACUUAAAUAUUUUGCAGGCUAUGAGGAUCACGAUUAAGGUAACUUCCAGGGAUGCUCAAUGGUUGUUUCAAGGAAGCUAUUGCUUUAGAAUAUCAUAUUCAGGAGUUGAUUUUGGUUAGCCAAGUUGUAAUUUAAGCUAUCUCUAAAUUAGUAUUAAGUUGAUUUUAA